Molecule: ribosomal RNA, 493 nt
Filed under: uncultured bacterium
Lineage: Bacteria
Description: partial 16S ribosomal RNA
Rfam family: Bacterial small subunit ribosomal RNA
Source: RNAcentral
GAUGAACGCUAGCGGCAUGCCUUACACAUGCAAGUCGAACAGUAACAGGUUAAGCUGACGAGUGGCGAACGGGUGAGUAAUAUAUCGGAACGUGCCCAGUCGUGGGGGAUAACGUAGCGAAAGCUACGCUAAUACCGCAUACGAUCUACGGAUGAAAGCGGGGGAUCGCAAGACCUCGCGCGACUGGAGCGGCCGAUAUCAGAUUAGCUAGUUGGUGAGGUAAAGGCUCACCAAGGCGACGAUCUGUAGCUGGUCUGAGAGGACGACCAGCCACACUGGAACUGAGACACGGUCCAGACUCCUACGGGAGGCAGCAGUGGGGAAUUUUGGACAAUGGGCGCAAGCCUGAUCCAGCAAUGCCGCGUGCAGGACGAAGGCCUUCGGGUUGUAAACUGCUUUUGUACGGAGCGAAACGGUCUUCUCUAAUACAGGGGGCUAAUGACGGUACCGUAAGAAUAAGCACCGGCUAACUACGUGCCAGCCGCCGCCGUAA